Molecule: non-coding RNA, 161 nt
Filed under: uncultured Eubacterium sp.
Lineage: Bacteria; Bacillati; Bacillota; Clostridia; Eubacteriales; Eubacteriaceae
Source: RNAcentral
GACCGCGGUGUCCUCCGAGGAGGGAGAAUAGGGAAUCAGGUGAAAAUCCUGAACGAUCUCGUCACUGUAUGCGGGGAGCGACGGCAAACGCGCCACUGGCCUCAUGGGCCGGGAAGGCUGCCGGAGCCCUGAUCCGUAAGUCAGGAGACCUGCCGCCUGGU